RNAcentral lists this ribosomal RNA (844 nucleotides) under uncultured bacterium. Its description in RNAcentral is "bacterial SSU rRNA". It matches the Rfam family "Bacterial small subunit ribosomal RNA", at positions 8 to 813 of the family's 1533-position model. The record is from RNAcentral.
AGAGUUUGAUCCUGGCUCAGGAUGAACGCUGGCGGCGUGCCUAAUACAUGCAAGUCGAGCGAGCUUGCCUAGAUGAUUUUAGUGCUUGCACUAAAUGAAACUAGAUACAAGCGAGCGGCGGACGGGUGAGUAACACGUGGGUAACCUGCCCAAGAGACUGGGAUAACACCUGGAAACAGAUGCUGAUACCGGAUAACAACACUAGACGCAUGUCUAGAGUUUGAAAGAUGGUUCUGCUAUCACUCUUGGAUGGACCUGCGGUGCAUUAGCUAGUUGGUAAGGUAACGGCUUACCAAGGCAAUGAUGCAUAGCCGAGUUGAGAGACUGAUCGGCCACAUUGGGACUGAGACACGGCCCAAACUCCUACGGGAGGCAGCAGUAGGGAAUCUUCCACAAUGGACGAAAGUCUGAUGGAGCAACGCCGCGUGAGUGAAGAAGGGUUUCGGCUCGUAAAGCUCUGUUGGUAGUGAAGAAAGAUAGAGGUAGUAACUGGCCUUUAUUUGACGGUAAUUACUUAGAAAGUCACGGCUAACUACGUGCCAGCAGCCGCGGUAAUACGUAGGUGGCAAGCGUUGUCCGGAUUUAUUGGGCGUAAAGCGAGUGCAGGCGGUUCAAUAAGUCUGAUGUGAAAGCCUUCGGCUCAACCGGAGAAUUGCAUCAGAAACUGUUGAACUUGAGUGCAGAAGAGGAGAGUGGAACUCCAUGUGUAGCGGUGGAUGCGUAGAUAUAUGGAAGAACACCAGUGGCGAAGGCGGCUCUCUGGUCUGCAACUGACGCUGAGGCUCGAAAGCAUGGGUAGCGAACAGGAUUAGAUACCCUGGUAGUCCAUGCCGUAAACGAUGAG